Molecule: long non-coding RNA, 994 nt
Organism: Clupea harengus (Atlantic herring)
Lineage: Eukaryota; Metazoa; Chordata; Actinopteri; Clupeiformes; Clupeidae
Source: RefSeq, a predicted model, not a curated record
UUGCAUUACGUAGUAAAAGUGACCUAAAUCACUUAAAAAACACAGUCAAAUAUACUUGCGAUACUUGUGGAUUACCACUGAUCACAAGAUGCUCAGUCAGAAAUGUUGUCAUAAACCACAAGUUUUCCUCAAACUCGGUGGCAGGAUCGAAUUCACUCGAACGCACCCAACACAUCUCAAAUGUCGCUUGAGCUGCAUGCCAGUGAUGUGAACUGAAGCAAGUACAAGAGCUGUGCCUUUCGACUUCAAAAGCUAAAGAUGGAGCAAUUGGACAAGACAACACAGUCACUUCUGGAAGCUGCACAGGCCAUUGCCUUGUUGGAUGCGCUCCCAAAAAUGUUCCCUUACCCAACCGCCCCUCCAAGAAAAGUUGGCAAGUGAGGCACUGUACCAUGUUCUUGAGCCAUCUGAGGACCCCAAUGUCUUCUUGCGUAACUGAUGACCUUGCCAAGGGACAUGCUUCUGGAAUCCCUCAUGAUACUGAUGGGAUGCUACUAUGUGUUCCAGUUAACAUAUUCCAAGUACUCAAAGAUUUUAUUCACGAGAGUGACAAGACGACAACAUAUAAAAAGGUGCUUGCUGACUGUCAAGCAUUCAUCCAAACCUAGUCUGUCUCUCCCUCUCUCUUUGUCAACCUCCUACUGUAUGUCACUCUUCUGUAUGUCACUCCCCCCCCCCCCCCCCCCCCCAACUCUUUCUCUAUAUGUCUGGAGGUCAGGACAGCACACAGUAACACAACGUCCAAUGUAUUUCCAGCUACAUUUGUCAAUGAUUUGUUGACUGUUUGAUGAAUUCUGACUGUUUGAUGUGUUGCUGAAUUGUCAUCGUUUAUGGAGAUGUCAAUGUACCCUAUGUCUGAUAGUUUACUUAAAUCAUUAUGUGUAAUAUGUAAUUAAGUACAUUUAAGCAUUCUGAUGCUUAUUAUUGUUCACUACUCUCAAAUGGCUGUUAUUGGUUUUCUUCAUUAACAGGCUAAUAAAACAGUGAUAAAUAA